GACGAACCUGACAAACGUUAUUCGGAAUUACUGGGCUUAAAGGGUGCGUAGGCGGCGCGACAAGUUGGGUGUGAAAUCCCUCGGCUCAACCGAGGAAGUGCGCUCAAUACUGUCGUGCUCGAGGGAGACAGAGGUGAGCGGAACUUAGGGUGGAGCGGUGAAAUGCGUUGAUAUCCUAAGGAACACCGGUAGCGAAAGCGGCUCACUGGGUCUUUUCUGACGCUGAGGCACGAAAGCUAGGGUAGCGAACGGG
This 253-nucleotide ribosomal RNA is filed under the name uncultured bacterium. RNAcentral describes it as "partial 16S ribosomal RNA". It matches the Rfam family "Bacterial small subunit ribosomal RNA", at positions 524 to 776 of the family's 1533-position model. The record is from RNAcentral.